Molecule: ribosomal RNA, 396 nt
Filed under: uncultured bacterium
Lineage: Bacteria
Description: partial 16S ribosomal RNA
Rfam family: Bacterial small subunit ribosomal RNA
Source: RNAcentral
AUACGUAGGUGACAAGCGUUAUCCGGAUUUACUGGGCGUAAAGGGCGUGUAGGCGGUCUUGCAAGUCAGAAGUGAAAUUCCUGAGCUCAACCCCUAAAAUGCUUUUGAAACUGUAUCCCUUGAGUAUCGGAGAGGCAGGCGGGAAUUCCUGUGGUGCGGUGAAAUGCGUAAAUAUUAGGAGGAACACCAGUGGCGAAGGCGGCCUGCUGGACGACAACUGACGCUGAGGCGCGAAAGCGUGGGGAGCAAACAGGAUUAGAUACCCUGGUAGUCCACGCUGUAAACGAUGAAUACUAGGUGUGGGGGGACUGACCCCCUCCGUGCCGCAGUUAACACAAUAAGUAUUCCACCUGGGGAGUACGAUCGCAAGAUUGGAACUCAAAGGAAUUGGCGGGG